RNAcentral lists this ribosomal RNA (468 nucleotides) under uncultured bacterium. RNAcentral describes it as "partial 16S ribosomal RNA". It matches the Rfam family "Bacterial small subunit ribosomal RNA", at positions 28 to 507 of the family's 1533-position model. The record is from RNAcentral.
GACGAACGCUGGCGGCGUGCUUAACACAUGCAAGUCGAACGGAAAGGCCCUGCUUUUGUGGGGUGCUCGAGUGGCGAACGGGUGAGUAACACGUGAGUAACCUGCCCUUGUCUUUGGGAUAACUUCAGGAAACUGGGGCUAAUACCGGAUAGGAGCUCCUGCUGCAUGGUGGGGGUUGGAAAGUUUCGGCGGUUGGGGAUGGACUCGCGGCUUAUCAGCUUGUUGGUGGGGUAGUGGCUUACCAAGGCUUUGACGGGUAGCCGGCCUGAGAGGGUGACCGGCCACAUUGGGACUGAGAUACGGCCCAGACUCCUACGGGAGGCAGCAGCGGGGAAUAUUGCACAAUGGGCGGAAGCCUGAUGCAGCAACGCCGCGUGCGGGAUGACGGCCUUCGGGUUGUAAACCGCUUUCGCCUGUGACGAAGCGUGAGUGACGGUAAUGGGUAAAGAAGCACCGGCUAACUACGUG